AACAAGACUCGAGCCAUCGCUGAGAUUUAUUUCUCAGAGGAAAGUCCGGACAGCAUAGGGUACUGUACUUCUCGAAAGGAAGGCUCAAAACAUGAAGGUGUUCUGAGACAGAAAGUGCUUCAGAGAUUUAGACUGCUCUUGCGUUUGUAAGAGUAACGGUGAGAAGGUGGAGUAAGAGCCCACCAGUAGUAUAGAGAUAUACUAGCUUAGGUAAACCUUGCAGGCUGAAAGACCAUGUAUACUGACGAUUGAAGGUUACCCGCUUGAUGUCAGAGGGUAGGUCGCGAAGAUAAAUGAUGGAUAGCUCUACACAGAGUGAGACAGAAUCCGGCUUAUAGAGUCCUGUUCUUC
Molecule: RNase P RNA, 351 nt
Filed under: Flavobacteriales bacterium
Lineage: Bacteria; Pseudomonadati; Bacteroidota; Flavobacteriia; Flavobacteriales
Description: RNase P RNA component class A
Rfam family: Bacterial RNase P class A
About the family: Ribonuclease P (RNase P) is a ubiquitous endoribonuclease, found in archaea, bacteria and eukarya as well as chloroplasts and mitochondria. Its best characterised activity is the generation of mature 5'-ends of tRNAs by cleaving the 5'-leader elements of precursor-tRNAs. Cellular RNase Ps are ribonucleoproteins.
Source: RNAcentral